GGUUAACUCUAGCUCAGUUGGUUAGAGCAUGGUGCUUGUAAUGCUAAGGUUGUGGGUUCAAUCCCCAUGUGGGCCA
Rhea pennata is the source of this 76-nucleotide non-coding RNA. NCBI's taxonomy places the organism in Eukaryota, Metazoa, Chordata, Aves, Rheiformes, Rheidae. The record is from the annotation of a RefSeq genome assembly.